CUUUUCAUCAUUGGAACUGUUGGAGGAGCUCCAGUGACGUAAAGCAAACAAGUCGUUUUUUAUUCCAUGAAGCUGGAACAAUGGUUGUUAGUUAUACCAAGAAUCCCACCUUCAGUCCAACUACGUGACUUUGGUUAUGGUUGGAAAAGGAGCCGGAUUGUGUGGGAGCACGAGGGCCUGAUGGUCCAACAGGAGAGAAUGGCAUUAAAGGAAAGAAGGGACUCGACGGCCCUCCUGGAAAACUUGGUUUUCCUGGUCCACAGGUAAAGUUUCAGGGUGUUUUUCUACUUUCCACUCCUAUCUCACAUUAAUUAUGUGGUGCUUAUGUUACCCUGGAGGGGAGAGGCAUCAAUGUGAUUUAAAAGACCU
This 369-nucleotide long non-coding RNA is filed under the name Gouania willdenowi (blunt-snouted clingfish). Its description in RNAcentral is "lncRNA (ENSGWIG00000001970.1)". The record is from RNAcentral. Lineage: Eukaryota; Metazoa; Chordata; Actinopteri; Blenniiformes; Gobiesocidae.